AGACCCGAAACCCGGUGAUCUAGCCAUGGGCAGGUUGAAGGUUGGGUAACACUAACUGGAGGACCGAACCGACUAAUGUUGAAAAAUUAGCGGAUGACCUGUGGCUGGGGGUGAAAGGCCAAUCAAACCGGGAGAUAGCUGGUUCUCCCCGAAAGCUAUUUAGGUAGCGCCUCGUGAAUUCAUCUCCGGGGGUAGAGCACUGUUUCGGCUAGGGGGCCAUCCCGGCUUACCAACCCGAUGCAAACUGCGAAUACCGGAGAAUGUUAUCACGGGAGACACACGGCGGGUGCUAACGUCCGUCGUGAAGAGGGAAACAACCCAGACCGCCAGCUAAGGUCCCAAAGUCAUGGUUAAGUGGGAAACGAUGUGGGAAGGCCCAGACAGCCAGGAUGUUGGCUUAGAAGCAGCCAUCAUUUAAAGAAAGCGUAAUAGCUCACUGGUCGAGUCGGCCUGCGCGGAAGAUGUAACGGGGCUAAACCAUGCACCGAAGCUGCGGCAGCGAACGUAUCACCCAAGACAACUUUACGGAGUUGACGAUUGACGGAGCGAAGCGACGUCAAAGCGUUCAUUAAAGUCGAGUUGGCUUAGGGAUACGUUCGUUGGGUAGGGGAGCGUUCUGUAAGCCUGUGAAGGUGUGUCGUGAGGCAUGCUGGAGGUAUCAGAAGUGCGAAUGCUGACAUAA
This 682-nucleotide ribosomal RNA is filed under the name Salmonella enterica subsp. enterica. Its description in RNAcentral is "partial 23S ribosomal RNA". It matches the Rfam family "Bacterial large subunit ribosomal RNA", at positions 711 to 1305 of the family's 2925-position model. The record is from RNAcentral. RNAcentral also lists the same sequence under 1 other name. Lineage: Bacteria; Pseudomonadati; Pseudomonadota; Gammaproteobacteria; Enterobacterales; Enterobacteriaceae.